UGAUGUAUAUAUUCUGUGUGAAUACGUGUGUCAGGUUUGUAUCGUAUAACACACAUAAUACAAUCAUAAAGGAUUUCUACAAGUGUUCAAAUACGUGAACCACUGUACGUGUAUUUUCGUAUUCUUUCUCGUAAGGAUAAUAGACGCGUGGUAUGCACGUUAAAGCAGCGUAUCACAUCUUCGAUUGUAAAGUCGAGAGAUCUCGUAUGGUGGCGUAUCGAUUACAAGGCAGCAGACACAUUGAAGUCUCAACGUAGAACAAAAAUAAUCGAUGAAGAAGGUGGGUAGAGAAGAUGAAAGAAAAGUAGAAAAGAAGAAAUUAACUACAAAUGGAAAGAAGGAGAACCUAAAGGGGAAGUAGAGGAAAGAAGAGAAAGAAAGGAAAAAGAAAAAAAAGGAGUGAAUCCUCAUUCAGCCAAGAUGUGUGUAUGAACCAUAAAGAAUGCCCGUGGGGUAAGAAAAGAGGAGGCUGGCGCCAACCACCGCUACUUUGAAUGUUGCUUUUAUGGCGCAUACCGCGCCGAUCCAGCCGCGCGGAUACAUUAAUUGGUAUACGUACAGUGUACAGUGCGUGCCAGUGACAGCCACCAAUAGCCAUGGAGUAUCGCGACACGCCGUGCCGUUUCACCUUUCUACCCGUCGUUUCUAUACCUCUUAACCUCUCUCGAUUUAUGGAUAUUCGUUCCACAGGAUUUUAUACCACAUUUUCAAGUACAAAGUUCUUUAUGAAAAUCGGUUGUCGCGUAACACAUAAAAACGAUUGCUGCAAUUAAAAAGUAAAUGGGAAAGAUGUUAUCGAGCUCUGAAGUCGUUGAAGAUUUCGUACACUGUACCGUCGGAAAGCCAUGUGGCUCAUGGCGCCUCGUUUCUUCUCAUCUCCCUCGCAUUAAGAGUCCAACAAGAUGCCAAAAAGGCUACACGUUUCUAACAAUUACGUCAAGCUUGAUACGCUGAUGCAUCCAACAUUGUUUGUAAAUCAUCAUGAGAGAUGACGCCAGGAAUGGCACACGUUAGACAGCGCUAUAAAUUUAUUUAAUAAAUGGCGCCACUGGCAUCAAUUUCAGAUACUUUCUAUUUAUUUUUAAAAUGCAGUAAACGUUACUUUCACAAGUCCCAUUGCAAAAAAUAAUAGGCUACCAUUUCCUAAAAUCGAGGGACGUAGAUUUUGGAUUUUACGGCAGUUGAACGUGACUAGAAGGAGCGUUACGGCCAAUUUAAUAGCUUUCACGCGAGAAUCGACACUACGCGGCUAAAAAAGAACUCUAUUUUAAAAGGGAUAACUAUAUGAUGGUAAUCACGUCGACGGAGGAUUUGAAAAAAAGACUUGAACAAAGUUGCUGUAAUGAAUACACUUUUAAACGAUCUACCAUAAUACUCUGGACAGGAUCGUAUAUUAACCGAACGCUAAUUACGCGAUGCUCAUGCAUCUUUCGAUGUCUCGACCCUUCGUUGCUCUUGCCGAGAGAACGCGGGAGAUUCAACAAGUUUCGUCAUUAUCCAAUGAAUGGAACUCCUUUCGCGUCUUCUGCCAACAUCCUGGACACGUUGUCGUCCGUUGUCCGAGCCGAUGAGAAUCGAUGUGACAGUCCAAUCGACGGGCUCACGGGUCACAGUUUCUUCUCGCGGGACAUAAAAGGGAGACGGCCGCGUAUUGGUAAUCGUAAGCGACUUCACCUUCCAUCAGCAGGGGGCAACAAGCCUGCCAGACGACGACGCGAACACGACCACGAUGACAACGGCUGAAGAAUGUAGGGGGAAAACAAAUUUCUGCGCGUUGAAACUUUAUACUCGUAAAUAACGAUAAGCGAUACUUCUUGAAACUGGGAAGAAUUGGUUCUAUCAGAUACGCAGGGAAUUUUUUACUUGCUGCUAGAAGAUUGUAUAAUCUGUACUUCAGUGCUAUUUUCAUUGCAAACUUUUGAAUUGUUAUUUAUCUGAUCUAAGAGUACCAAUCGAAAUGGAUCGACACUAGGCAACUAUGAAAUUUUGUUAUCGCUAUAUAACCUGUUAUGGCUUAUUAAUUAUUGUUUCGUAUGUUUUCAGCAGCAACUAUCUUUCUGUUCCUAGAAAUGACAUAGAUACUAUGACUUUUUUAAGGUGAGCGGAAAUAUUGCUAUAACGGGCUGGUUCUUGGGCUUUGCAGCACCAUAUCGAGAUGACCUUUUCGAAUCUGGUUUUUCCGGGUACCAGCCAUGUCAGAUGGGUGGAAAUGAUACAUAGAUAUCUAAGGAACCUGUGAAUGAGAAACUUAAUGCAACUCGCGACUAAAUUGUUGAACGCGAUAAGUUAUUCGAGACAAAUAUGUGUCGCGCCCAACAUAGACAAAUUUCUCUAUACGGGUAUGCUCUUACGGCAUAUGUUUAUUAUUGGUUACUGCAACACGAUGCCGUGCCCAUAUUCACUGCCCAUGUUCUGCCGUACGUUAAUUAGGAAAAAAAGAGGAAUUACUAUUCGUUUGUGAAUAAAGGUAGACGUAAAAAUGUUUUAGGGAUUUUUAUACGCUGAGGUUGACCUGCCUGGAAUCUGGUACAAUUACGUCCGUGUUUUAAUCGCUUUCGAACACGUAUAUGUCUAUUUCCUGCUCUUAAAAAUAUCGAUUAAUAAACAAAUUUAAAAAACGGUUCGAUCACCGACAUUUUUGAAAAACACACCGGUCCUCCCUCCCCCCUAUGGAGGCAAUUUAAAGUACGCACGAUAGCAAGCAACGAGGGAGUGGUUGACAAAGAUAAUAAGAAAAAGGGGCUUGAGGGAGUGGAGGCAGACACGAAAUUAACGACGAUAAAGCAUGUCGGGAGGAUAAAGAGCAAUACAAGGAAAGACGAUAAGAGGUGAACACGAAGAGGCAGCAGUAGCGACGAGACGAUUGGUCAGCCUCAUUGAAAGAGGAAUGGUUUGCAAUGAUGCCCCUACCCCCCUGCUCCUCCCACACUGCUUCCCCCGCGACCUUCCAACCUUCCCACCAAGCCACGUCUCCUCGUCUAUUCUCAUUCCCGCGCGCGUUAUGCCCGAUCAUUACGUAUGCUAAUAUUUACAUUUAGAUUGCACGGCUUAAUCGAAGUGACGCCAUGCGGUAAUAUAGCCGGCGCCAUGGCGCUAAACCGUGGCGCCCGACCUAUCUCUUCUUUCUCUUUCUGCCUACCGACCACCACAUCUUCUACUCCUCUUCCUCUCGUCGUUCACCAUUCUCUUCUUUUUUGCCUACACUGUCUCUCCUGCCGUUUCUUUAUCAUCGACCUUUUUUCCGCGCUGCUUUUUUCUUUACCGACCGUCCUUCCCGCCGCGUCGGUUACGCUUAAUUCGAUCUCUCUCACGGGUUGUUAUUUCGCUUAUCUGCCACACGCGGCUGUGUCCCACGGAACGGCCACGGGGUGGCACUAUUUGCGCUCAACAGAAAUCCGACCCGCCAUCUUCUUCCAAUUGACAUUAUUUGACAUAAUUUUUUCUUAGUUGGCAUUUGAACCUUUUUUUCUCUUUUUUGCGCGACGGUGGAAUCGUAACAAGGAGAAUCGUAUCUUCGUUGGACUGAUCAAGGUGCUGGGUAACUGGGUUACCAGUUAAAAACCUCCCUCUUUAAUUUCUCUCGGUGUGGAAGGGAAAGCCCCUCCUCCUGGCUCUGAUGUGAUAUUAUCUCAAGAGGAGAGGUUACUUGCCGCCUAUUUGGCCCUUUGUUUGUUGCAAAAAUGUAACAUUAGGUGUAAAAUAUAACAAUAGCAUCGUAAGUUUGUUAAUGGUAAUUAAGCAGUGGAACAAUUGAAUUUACUAGUGCAAGAAUAUACAAACAUAGCGCGUGUAUUCAUUACUGGACUUAUUAUUAAGAAUAUUGACAUAUUCACGUUGCGAACGAGACGGCGCCACUCUGACGUUUGUAUCCUCAAUUAUUGAAAUAUUCGACCGUAAGUAUCGUAGAUGUCUAGUCAAGAUAAGUUCAAGGAAACAAGAAAUGCGGAAAGAUCGGUCACGUAGCGAAUCGUUCCCUGAAUAACGUAGUGUUUUGAAUGACAAAAAGCAGUAUGCGAACACAAGGCUCGUUAUGUAUGGUAAACAAACAGUAACGAUCUCAUCGAUACACUGUUAAUUCCACCUAAUUAUAAAUUUUACGUGAUUCUACCAUUUUUAUAGAGGCACCUGCAAAACUAGCGUCACUGCGCAAGCUCAGGCCACGUAACGUAACAUAAGAUGAUAUGCUCAUUCAUAAGAUUACGAUAGGAGAUUAACGUGACAAAAAUACGAAGGAAUUUGAUUAUGGGGAAAAUAAAUGAUAAAAAGAAAAUGGCGAUAUGAAGGAUCAUGUACGGCCGCGAUAAAGAAAUCUUCGGCUAGCCAGGAAUGGAAAUAGAAAGCACGCGGACAAUGACAGCAGGCUUGUCCAUGGUUAAUAAAUGUGAGCUCGCUAAUUGAUUCUAAGUAACCAAUAAAUUGCGCUGGCCGCAUUGUAAAAGUGGUUAUGGUGAACGUAUGCGUGUGGCCGAGCGUUGUUAUCUUUCCGCUGGUGGUUUGUUCGUUUUUCCCUCCCGAGAUCGCCUGCGCCUGUCGGCCGGCGCGUUAUCAUAAAAGCCCGCGCUUUUCCUCGCUCGUUUAAAAAUGGCGGUUUCAAUCGACGCUUCUCGCCAAUGGUAAUAUGGUCAUCGUAUCGAGUAGAAUACCGCGAGGAUAUCGUGAAACAUCGUGCCAGUUAUCAAGACAAUAAAUUGCGAUUCUUCAAAAAGAUAUUUUAUUGCGAAAAGGUUAUCACGUGGUAUUAUGUUUUGCAGAAUUUUUUAGGUUAUGGACUAUGAAGGUUCACUACACAAGGUCUUUUUUAUUCUGCAAUAGCGCGUAAAUAUAAAAAUUAUACUUCCAGCUUCGUCGCCGUAGGUAAAAAAGGAUUUACAACACGUAGCACUAAUACAUUUUCAUCUGUAGAUAAAACACGGGAUUCUUGGUAUUUAUGGACUACGAACUACUUCUUUUUAUGAAAGUCUCAAAGUUACUUUACAUGCAACAACGACUUCAGCUCACAUAGAUUAUCUCAGAUAAGUAACAGAUAAGUAAAUAUUAAUAAUUAAUCAGUAUAAAUAAUCAAAUAAUGCUAUUGUUUUUUGCAAAUCUGCGUGCGUUAUUUAAAGAUCAUUUUAUUGUUUACGAAACGACUCGGAAUUUUAUAAAACUAAAAAUUCAUUUAAAUCUCACUUAACUCGUUUCAUCUUCUUCUGUCUUUUUAUUAUCAUUCUCGUUUCAAACGUUUUGUAUAUGUAGAUCUCUAUUAUAUCUUUAGUUCAUAGAAAACAACAUAUAGACUUAAUAUCAAAGUUCUCAUAUAUUGGGUUGGCAACUAAGUGACUGCGGAUUUGUCAAUACCACUUAAUGACAAAAUCCGCAAUCACUUAGUUGCCAACCCAAUAUCUUCGAUUUACCAAUAAUUUGAUUUAUCAUCGAGCCAAUGUGUUAAUAGAGCCGCUAUAUUUGCAAAAAGCUCGCUAUUUGGUCAGAAUUCCGUUUACAAGAAAGUUAAAUCCUUAACCUUUAUUUCCAGCUAGCCAAUGUAUUUCCACCUAAAAGCAAGAGGAAUGGGCACAGGUAUUUCAAUCGGUUCAUUUAUUCCACCGGCAUUUUAUGGUAAUUAACGGUGAUAUAGGAAUCCAUUGAAGAAAGAAAGGAGCCAAGUAACCGUACAAAGAAUUUGGCCCAUGCUAUUCAAGUGAAAGUUGCACAUUUUAGAAAUACUUUAUACCGUAACGUUUAUUGAACGAGAAACAAAAUAUAAAACUCUUGAAUUGUGUCCUAUAGAUUAGCUAUAUUCUAAUCAUGUAAUUUGUGUUUUUUAUCAAAUAGUAAUUUCCCGUCCUGAUCUCCAUAUCUGCGAGUCGGUCACCUAUGAUGCAAGAAGAGCAUUACCAAGGGACAAUGAGGGUGACAUGCAUUUAUGUCAUCUGUGCAUGACUCAUAGAACUUAUAGUAUAACCAGACAAACAAUUCCUUGAUAAGUAUUAGUCUAAAUUGUUCCUUUGUUACCUUCGUUAUCCUUUAAAAUAGGCUUAUAGAUCAGAAUUAAGAAUAGAAUGGGACAAAGGAUAUUAUGAAUUAAGAAUAAAAUUAGAUAAAAGAGAUAAGCAUGUAAAUCAUUUGUAACACUUUAUAUCGUUGCAUGUAAGAAAUCGUAUACGUUGAAUUAUACUCGAGAAUGAAACUAGUAAAAACAAAGUUAAUAUUGUGGUUACAAUUAUAACAUUUAUGAAAGAAAAAAAGGCAAGGCAAAGCUAGGGCAUCUUUCUUGGCAAAGAAAAGUAGCAAGUUGAAGUCUCUUAUUUUGCAGUACUCGAAAAAAAGCUGCAUAUGCGCGUUAAUCUGCUAAUCCCUAAUAAGAGCACUCGAACAUUGAGGCGAUAAUAAAACUGAAGCCACCAGGCGAUAACGGUCAAUCAUGAUUACAUGGCAUUGCAAAUACGAUUAUCGGAUCGAUCGGACCGAUAGAGAGACGUUCGAAGAAGCGACCGAGGAAGUGUUAAGAAGAAAAAGAGAAUCCUCUAGAAGGCGAGAAAGACAACGACACAGACAAAAGAGGCAGUGAUCAUUGAUAAAUGAUUUAUGCAAGCCACUUGACUCUCAUUAAUAUCUCCCGUCACUCGAUAUAUUGGAUCUAUAUCUUCUGUAAGCGCUAAUCGUUACAAGUUUGCUGAUAGUUAUUGAGCAUCUUUCAUUUUUAACCUUUUUUGAUCCUCGGUACAAUUAUGGUAACUGGCAAAUCGCAGAAGUUUCAGCAGCCUAUACAUUUCAGAUUAUUUCUCACAGAGAUCAGUAUUCUGAUCAAUGAUAUUGCGAUAAUAGCGCCUCUGUUGGCAGAUUCUUUUGUUUCAAACAUAACCUAGAAUUAAGAACAUUAACAUACGAAUGUCGAGCAAAAGACGCACGUGUUUCUUUAAAAUAAUAAUGCGAUAAAACAAAGUCUUCGGAUCAUAUAAUGGCAAUAUUCUUAUCUUGGAGAUACCGUUGUGUUAAAUAAAGAUACUACUAUAUGUGUCACAAGUGCAAGGAGUAUUCAAUAACACGUCUACAUGGAGGUCAUCACAAGUGCCUACAUCUGCCGCUUUUUCUUAAAUCCAAUGGAUCCAAUAUCAAGCGUAUGCAAAGAAAAAUAUGCUGUUACUUACUAAAGUCUCCCGGACAAGAUUUGCAACACCUGCCAGGAAGGAGAACUGGCUCUUUGCACGUAAGUUCUGGGCAUUCGUUCUUGAUGUUACGGCAGUGAACCCGCGCUACGAUUCGCCGUUUCUUCUGCACCUGAAACCAGAACAUUAUUAUGUAUUUUCACACAUUACAACGUUUAAAAUAUUACCACGCUGUAACAGAUGGUUUUCAGUUGAACAAUAGGAAAAAGUUUGAACGAUGUCCGUUACGAAACAGAAAUCGAGUUUCUCCAUCAGCCUGUUCAUACUACUGGACACGUUCGCGGUGACGUUUGAAAGUGUGAUUGUAAUGUUUUCGAACCUGUAAACGUGCUUACAUGUUUAUUACUCCUUUACGCAUCGCUGACGACGACAGUUGCAACGUUUACAUGCACGGCGUGCAUAAAUCUAUCGUCAAGUAAUUGAUGUCUUACUCGAGCUCGACCGUGUUGUUCUUUACGAUGCAUUCAUAGCUCGAUGGUACAUACACGAUUCGAUUCAUGAACAACGCACAUUCGUCUAGAAGAAACAUUCCUUACUUGUGCAUUUUUGUACAGGAAUAUAUAUAAUAUAUUUCUGUAUAUGUAUAACAGUAUCCAUCGAAAUUUCAUGAUGAUAACGAAGGAACACGAUCGUAAUUAUAAUUUGUGAUCAAAUAUCAUAAAAGGUUAUGUGAGAUUUCAAUACAUAGGCGUAGACAGAGACAAAACUAAAUGAUCAGAUAGCGGAUCUAGGUAUCGAUGACGUUUAAUCAAACUGGAACUAGUAUUAUCUACUUAAGUUCUAUUUGUUAUAUAUCCUUGUAGUACACGUGUAGAUUACUUAAUAAGUAAUCGAAAUUAGUAUCCACGUUGUUGUAUGAGUCAGCUGUGUUUAACGGAACUUUAUUGAUAUUUGUUUCCACUACCUGCUCAAUUAUUUCUCUACCAGACUGUUACUUGUUUGUUUAAGUUGCAUAUAAUGUAACCAGAUAAUAAAAUAAUGAUAUAAAUAAUAAUAUAUUAUAAUAUGAAUUAUAAAUUAACGAUAUAAAAACUAUGAUAAUAAAGAAAAAAAAAAAAUAAAAACAGGUAAAACUAGAACCAUCGGAUACAAAAAUCGUAAAGUUCGAACGAGUUUCCAGCGAUCCAGCAGACACGCGUUGACUGGUCGAUAAAUAUCCGACUUUAGAGCAAAUUUGCGGCAUCUAGUUAUCUCUGGGUGUGAAAAACUAAUCUCGAAAGAUUCUUCUUCAACGGGACGCCAACCAAAGGAAUGGAUAAGAGAUCGUGCAUCCGGCGAGGGUUCCGGUUACACUGGUGCCGAGAGCAGAAAUUAAGUUUGGGGUUUUAUAGAGCUGCAUGGCAUUCCUGAAACGCGAAACGAUACGUUCGAUGUUGAUUCGAGUGACAAAAUGAAAAAAAGUCAAGGGAGCAGAACGGCGCCGACCGGCGAUCAGACAACGCAGACGUUGAACUUCGCAUUACGGGAGUAUCGGGGCGCCAGGAGUAAAUUCCGAGAUUCAGUGGCCCUCGUGAGAUCGCGUGACAGUUAUUUAACUGGGACCCGCUAAGCGAGUAUGUCGCUGUAUUUUUUAUCGUCCAGAGAUACAUUUAGGUGCCUGCCGACGCAUACCUCUAGUACUUCUGAUAAGUUUCUACGACAUUGCGAGAUACAAUGUAACAAAAAGUUUUUCAGCGAUCUGGAAACACGAAGAACGAUAAUGAUAAGGCCGAUAGUAAAAAACGAAGCAACCAUUUUUCUAUCGGCAACUUCUCGACGUAUUCAAUUAUGUUAUAGAUAACGCGACGUAAAUCAAUAUAGCUUUCAUAGAAACUAAAUAUAAAUCUUCGCGAUUUCUACGCACUCUGUAUCUUGUUCUUUUUACUUUUACUUACACGAAU
Molecule: long non-coding RNA, 9025 nt
Organism: Bombus terrestris (buff-tailed bumblebee)
Lineage: Eukaryota; Metazoa; Arthropoda; Insecta; Hymenoptera; Apidae
Exons: 8
Source: RefSeq, a predicted model, not a curated record